GACGAACGCUGGCGGCGUGCUUAACACAUGCAAGUCGAACGGAAAGGCCCUGCUCUUGUGGGGUGCUCGAGUGGCGAACGGGGGAGUAACACGCGUGUAACCUGCCCUUGACUUUGGGAUAACUUCAGGAAACUGGGUCUAAUAUCGGAGAGGAUCUCCUGCUGCAUGGGGGGGGUUGGAAAGUUUCGGCGGUUGGGGCUGGACUCGCGGCUUACCAGCUGGUUGGGGGGGUAGUGGCUUACGAAGCGUUUGACGGCUAGGCGGCCUGAGAGGGUGACCGGCCUCCAUGGGCCUGCGGUACGCCGCAGUCUCCUACGGGAGGCAGCGGUGGGGAACAUUACACAGUGAGCCGGCGCCUGAUACGACGGCGCCGCGUGCGUGAUGCCGGCCUUUGGGUUGUAAACAGCUUUCGCCUGUGACGAAGCGUGAGUGACGGUACUUGGUAAAGAAGCACCGGCUAACUACGUG
Molecule: ribosomal RNA, 468 nt
Filed under: uncultured bacterium
Lineage: Bacteria
Description: partial 16S ribosomal RNA
Rfam family: Bacterial small subunit ribosomal RNA
Source: RNAcentral